UGAGGAAUAUUGCGCAAUGGGGGCAACCCUGACGCAGCGACGCCGCGUGAGUGAGGAAGGCCUUCGGGUCGUAAAGCUCUGUCAAAGGGAAAGAAGUGCAUGGCGGCUAAUACCUGCCAUGUUUGACGGUACCCUUAAAGGAAGCACCGGCUAACUCCGUGCCAGCAGCCGCGGUAAUACGGAGGGUGCAAGCGUUGUUCGGAAUUACUGGGCGUAAAGGGCGCGUAGGCGGUUUUAUAAGUCAGAUGUGAAAGCCCACGGCUUAACUGUGGAAGUGCAUUUGAAACUGUGAGACUUGAGUACCAGAGGGGAAAGUGGAAUUCCCGGUGUAGAGGUGAAAUUCGUAGAUAUCGGGAGGAAUACCGGUGGCGAAGGCGACUUUCUGGCUGGAUACUGACGCUGAGGCGCGAAAGCGUGGGGAGCAAACA
This 428-nucleotide ribosomal RNA is filed under the name uncultured bacterium. RNAcentral's name for it is "bacterial SSU rRNA". It matches the Rfam family "Bacterial small subunit ribosomal RNA", at positions 355 to 774 of the family's 1533-position model. The record is from RNAcentral.